GCUAGCGUAGCUUAACUAAAGCAUAACACUGAAGAUGUUAAGAUAGCCCUUAAACCGGACUCGUAGGCA
Molecule: transfer RNA, 69 nt
Filed under: Ambassis gymnocephalus (bald glassy)
Lineage: Eukaryota; Metazoa; Chordata; Actinopteri; Ambassidae
Also listed under: 1 other name
Description: tRNA-Phe
Rfam family: tRNA
About the family: Transfer RNA (tRNA) molecules are approximately 80 nucleotides in length. Their secondary structure includes four short double-helical elements and three loops (D, anti-codon, and T loops). Further hydrogen bonds mediate the characteristic L-shaped molecular structure. tRNAs have two regions of fundamental functional importance: the anti-codon, which is responsible for specific mRNA codon recognition, and the 3' end, to which the tRNAs corresponding amino acid is attached (by aminoacyl-tRNA synthetases). tRNAs cope with the degeneracy of the genetic code in two manners: having more than one tRNA (with a specific anti-codon) for a particular amino acid; and 'wobble' base-pairing, i.e. permitting non-standard base-pairing at the 3rd anti-codon position.
Source: RNAcentral